AGCGAACGCUGGCGGCAGGCUUAACACAUGCAAGUCGAACGGGCGUAGCAAUACGUCAGUGGCAGACGGGUGAGUAACGCGUGGGAACGUACCUUUUGGUUCGGAACAACCCAGGGAAACUUGGGCUAAUACCGGAUAAGCCCUUACGGGGAAAGAUUUAUCGCCGAAAGAUCGGCCCGCGUCUGAUUAGCUAGUUGGUGAGGUAACGGCUCACCAAGGCGACGAUCAGUAGCUGGUCUGAGAGGAUGAUCAGCCACAUUGGGACUGAGACACGGCCCAAACUCCUACGGGAGGCAGCAGUGGGGAAUAUUGGACAAUGGGCGCAAGCCUGAUCCAGCCAUGCCGCGUGAGUGAUGAAGGCCCUAGGGUUGUAAAGCUCUUUUGUGCGGGAAGAUAAUGACGGUACCGCAAGAAUAAGCCCCCGGCUAACUUCGUGCCAGCCG
Molecule: ribosomal RNA, 443 nt
Filed under: uncultured bacterium
Lineage: Bacteria
Description: bacterial SSU rRNA
Rfam family: Bacterial small subunit ribosomal RNA
Source: RNAcentral